UGGAGCCACCGCAGCCACCUGGGUCUGCUCCGGGUGAUUUCUGCCCUUUUCAUCCAAAUCCAGCCCUUCAGCCUGGCAGGCAAAGGAAAAUCCAGGUGCUGAAUGGAUCUCUGCUGGUGCUUCUGGCCAGGACAUGCUGCCAGGCAGAGCCAGCCCUUGGGGAGGAACCGUGAGGGAGCGAGGAGGGGCCGGAGCCAUGAGGGCGUGAGGGGAGCCAUGAGGGCAUGAGGGAAGCCAUGAGGGAGGGACCCGGGUUACUGCUCCCAGGAGGAGGGGACAGAUGUGGGAAUACACAGCAACAUCAGGGACCACACCAGCUACCUCCAGACUCCUUGGAAACAUUAAAAAUGGAAUGUUUCUC
This is a long non-coding RNA of Vidua chalybeata, 361 nucleotides long. RefSeq lists it as uncharacterized. The transcript has 3 exons. The record is from RefSeq and is a predicted model, not a curated record. Lineage: Eukaryota; Metazoa; Chordata; Aves; Passeriformes; Viduidae.